Molecule: ribosomal RNA, 497 nt
Filed under: uncultured bacterium
Lineage: Bacteria
Description: partial 16S ribosomal RNA
Rfam family: Bacterial small subunit ribosomal RNA
Source: RNAcentral
GAUGAACGCUGGCGGCGUGCCUAAUACAUGCAAGUCGAGCGAACAGACGAGGAGCUUGCUCCUCUGACGUUAGCGGCGGACGGGUGAGUAACACGUGGAUAACCUACCUAUAAGACUGGGAUAACUUCGGGAAACCGGAGCUAAUACCGGAUAAUAUAUUGAACCGCAUGGUUCAAUAGUGAAAGACGGUUUUGCUGUCACUUAUAGAUGGAUCCGCGCCGCAUUAGCUAGUUGGUAAGGUAACGGCUUACCCAGGCGACGAUGCGUAGCCGACCUGAGAGGGUGAUCGGCCACACUGGAACUGAGACACGGUCCAGACUCCUACGGGAGGCAGCAGUAGGGAAUCUUCCGCAAUGGGCGAAAGCCUGACGGAGCAACGCCGCGUGAGUGAUGAAGGUCUUCGGAUCGUAAAACUCUGUUAUUAGGGAAGAACAAAUGUGUAAGUAACUAUGCACGUCUUGACGGUACCUAAUCAGAAAGCCACGGCUAACUACGUG